Molecule: ribosomal RNA, 448 nt
Filed under: uncultured bacterium
Lineage: Bacteria
Description: SSU rRNA
Rfam family: Bacterial small subunit ribosomal RNA
Source: RNAcentral
AGAGCGAACGCUGGCGGCAGGCUUAACACAUGCAAGUCGAGCGGGCGUAGCAAUACGUCAGCGGCAGACGGGUGAGUAACGCGUGGGAACGUACCUUUUGGCUCGGAACAACACAGGGAAACUUGUGCUAAUACCGGAUAAGCCCUUACGGGGAAAGAUUUAUCGCCAAAAGAUCGGCCCGCGUCUGAUUAGCUAGUUGGUGAGGUAACGGCUCACCAAGGCGACGAUCAGUAGCUGGUCUGAGAGGAUGAUCAGCCACAUUGGGACUGAGACACGGCCCAAACUCCUACGGGAGGCAGCAGUGGGAAUAUUGGACAAUGGGCGCAAGCCUGAUCCAGCCAUGCCGCGUGAGUGAUGAAGGCCCUAGGGUUGUAAAGCUCUUUUGUGCGGGAAGAUAAUGACGGUACCGCAAGAAUAACGCCCCGGCUAACUUCGUGCCAGCAGCCGC